RNAcentral lists this unclassified non-coding RNA (735 nucleotides) under uncultured Prochlorococcus sp. RNAcentral describes it as "partial 16S-23S ribosomal RNA intergenic spacer; may also contain 16S ribosomal RNA and 23S ribosomal RNA". The stretch from base 343 to 415 matches the Rfam family "tRNA". The record is from RNAcentral. Lineage: Bacteria; Bacillati; Cyanobacteriota; Cyanophyceae; Synechococcales; Prochlorococcaceae.
UUGUGGAGAAGGACGCCGAAGGUGGGGCUGAUGACUGGGGUGAAGUCGUAACAAGGUAGCCGUACCGGAAGGUGCGGCUGGAUCACCUCCUAACAGGGAGACAAAAAAUUGAUUGUGAUGUCUUUGUAAUUUAUUCUUAGGCCACAAUCCUGUCACCUUAGGUCGAUCGGUACCUCAGAUUUAUGAAUUAUUUUUAUAAUUAAUGAAUAAAUUUCAGUUCCUAAACUUGUCUAGGUCACACCCAACAAGGGUAUCUCCUGGGCCAUUAGCUCAGGUGGUUAGAGCGCACCCCUGAUAAGGGUGAGGUCCCUGGUUCAAGUCCAGGAUGGCCCAUUCGUUGUUGGGGGUAUAGCUCAGUUGGUAGAGCGCCUGCUUUGCAAGCAGGAUGUCAGCGGUUCGAGUCCGCUUACCUCCACUGAAACUACCCUGAUAACUAAUUUUCAGGAGAAAACUUGUAAUUGUGAUUUAGAAUUGUCUAUUUGAAAAGAACCUAGCUUCUUAUCUACUUUUUAUAGUUGAUAACAUGCUGGGCUCUCAUGGAAUGAUUUCCAUGUGAAUUCAGUAGAACCUUGAAAACUGCAUAGUAUGGAAAGAAUAAAGCAUCUCAUGGAUGCAUAAUUCUGGAUUUAAUUUUUAGUUUUAGAACUAAAUUUAUUUUUUUCAGAAUUCAUGUUUAAUUCUUGAGUAAAAGCCGAGCACAAUUAAUUUUGUGAUUGUAUUAAGGUCAAGCUACAA